UACGGAGGGGGCUAGCGUUGUUCGGAAUUACGGGGCGUAAAGGGCGCGUAGGCGGCGCGGAUAGUCGGCGGUGAAAGCCCGGAGCUCAACUCCGGGUCGGCCGUCGAUACUUCCGGGCUUGAGCACUGUAGAGGCAGAUGGAAUUCCGGGUGUAGCGGUGGAAUGCGUAGAGAUCCGGAAGAACACCGGUGGCGAAGGCGGUCUGCUGGGCAGUUGCUGACGCUGAUGCGCGACAGCGUGGGGAGCAAACAGG
RNAcentral lists this ribosomal RNA (253 nucleotides) under uncultured bacterium. RNAcentral's name for it is "partial 16S ribosomal RNA". It matches the Rfam family "Bacterial small subunit ribosomal RNA", at positions 524 to 776 of the family's 1533-position model. The record is from RNAcentral.